GUUUGUUUGUUUGUUUUCUUUCAAUGGCAAAUGAUGCUUAAAAUACCACAGUCAGAACUGCUCCUCUGGCAUUGUUAGUGCUUGCUGUGUUCUUCAUCUACAGUUUCUGAGGAUGAAAAUGAGUCUUAAACAUCUCAAAUAGCUGACAAGGUAAUACUAGCAAAUCACGAAUGAGUGAUUGAUUUAUGAAUUUGUGUAAGUAUGGCCACUGGACACCUCCCUGUCUGUGUACGUGUGUGCCCUGCCUUGCCAGGUACAACCUCACUCAUGGAAUAAUAUUUUUUCUAUGCCUGCUGCAAGCGCCACACAGAGGAGCCUCAUUGCUCUGCAGAGACUGUGCCAUGAAAAACAAACACUGACACCCAAACUCUUCCAGCAGUUAAACCAAGCGUGAGUUUAUGGUAACUGAGCUUCCAGGGGCAGCAAGCACCAUGGCCCAAACAGGAAAUUUGAAGUCUAAUUUUGCUAGGCAAUGUGUGAGUACAGAACUGAUUGACACCUGGGUGCCUCUGCUCUCUGAGUAAUGAUUCCAAAAGGCCAGUGCUUACAUUCAGACAUAAUUUCUAUACCGUGCCUUUGACAGGCAGAUGAAGGCAGGUGUGACCAUGAGACCGGCUGGCUUCCAUUUGCACUACCAGCUGCUGCCAUACCAGUGCAGUGGAGCCACAUUGAACUGGUGCUUGGAGCUGUGGCCAGGUAAGGCUUUCAGCAUCGGCUGUGCAAGGGGAGGCUGCUACCAGUCUGGGAGGUGCUGCAUGCAAACAGGUACUCUGAGGGGAAUGCACUGCUGGCGUGUGGGCACACAUAGGAGGUGUGUGAGGCUGGGGUGGUGCAUGCACUGCUGGAGUGAGUCCUCACUGCAGCAAGGCUGUGCUGGGACACCAGGGAGGCAUCACCAUGAGUUAGAGUGGUCCCAAGAAUGCUGUCACUUGCAAGCUUUGGAUGUGUCCUCUCCCAUCUUUGCCCUCAGUCCCCUUCACAAGUGAUAUGCCUAUUAAUUUAAAAGGAAAGAAAAAAGAUUGCAAGUCCUGAUAUGAUGUUUUUCUUUACCAAGUGAAAUGCUGAAAGCAUUAAAUGUGUAAAGUGAGGGAUGUUGUGAAACGGUUGAGGAAUGGCUUUACGUGCAGCACGUAUUUGUUGUAUUUGUUGUCAGCAGUAGCCACACUGCUGACAGCUGAUGAUGGUUUGCCAUUGGCUCUGGAUGUGGAAAAGUGGUCUCAAUGACAGCAAACAAAUAGAUUCCUUACAAUCAGAUCAAGGCCACGGACUCUUAGCAUGAUUGCUGUGACAAGGCCCUGUUUUUUGCAACAUGAUCCAUGUAUACAAAUCCCACAUGGAGCAGAAGACAAGACAGUAUUUAUUUGACAUUUCAGUUGAGAAGGAGAAUAAGCGUGUUCUGUACUCAUCUUUUUUUUUCAGCAAAAACAAUUAACUUUGGAACAAGGGCUUUGAUCGCUAUCUCUGACAUCACCUUUACACUGAUGUGAUCCUAUAGGCUGCCGUGGGGUCAUUGCUGAUUCACACUGGUGUGAGCAGGGAACAAACAGGCUCUGUGCUUAUGGGGCAGUGAAGGUGUUUAUGUUCUGUGAAAAGAAAGAAAAUCGGUUACACAUCUUAAGGGGUAAAUAAGUUAACCAAGAAAUUCAGAUGGAGCCAAAAGCAUUAUAAGCAAGGAUACUGCAAGAAUGUUCUAACUGUACUGCUAGUUUAAAAAUAUACAUAGCCUAAUUAAGUAAAGAUUGACUUAGCUAUAAAUAUGUACGGUGAUCUUUUUCGUUUUCAAGCUCUAAUUGACAUCCAAAGGUGAGCAGUGGAAUAUCUCACUGGAACUUUCAGGGUUUCAGUGUGCCGUAUCUUACCGCCUUUGUUGAGAUCCUUGCAUGAACGUCAAUUUCCUUUCCGUUUCAAACAAUGUUAUGCAGCAUGAGAAUAAAUGAACUCUAAGGACUACAAUUACAGGCUAACUGGUGUGAAAGCAGCAGUGAAUGCUCACCCGAAUAUAGCCACAGUGAAAUCCUAGCUCUGUCUGUGUGAAGGGGAGCUGACCUUUGUACGUGGGCCAAGGAUUUCACCAUUCAUGACAUUUACCAGGCACAGAUGUAUUUUUUUACAUGUCAAGGUAGAAUCAAGUCUUUCAAUGUCCUUCUCUUUGUGCUCGUUUUAUGCUACUGAUGCUAUUAUACCCUCAGUUUCCAGAGGAUGUCAGACUCCCAGGAAGGUAACUUGUUUUGAUUGGCGGUAAAGUUUACCAACAUUACACUUGAGAUGGUGUGGGCCUAAUCAUAUCACAGGAGCUCUGGUGUACUCAGCACACAGCUGGGAACGGGCCCAGGCAGCCCUACCAGCCAGCAAGGUGAGCCACUGCAUCAUCCCCGCCAGCAGUACGGCCACAGGUGGCAUUUUAGGGAGUGCUUUUCAUCCAAAAAGGAAAGAAAUGGGGAACCAGUGAAACCUAAAUCUGGGUAACUGUCAUAUGUCCGUACUGGAAAAUUAAUUCUGAUGACUCCAUGUACAACUCUUUCUGUUCAGUGCCAUUUCUAUUUGGUCUUUACUAAUAACAUGUGGUGUGUCUUACCGAGUGGCCAGGCAUAUAUCAGAAAGGCUCUGUGUAAUAACUAGGCAACAAAAACUUUUAGAACCAGGCCAGUUUUGCAAUAGCUGCGGCAUUUCCCUAAUAAACCCCAACUCACUGCCUACUUUAUUAAAUGACAAGCUUCUCCUGUAAGCCACGCGUGUGGUUAUGUUAAAUAUUGCCCUGCAUUUAACAGUGUGCUACUUUCCUGUCCUACUCUCCCAAGCAUAAUAGGAGCUGCGGCAUUCAUUUAACCUGGGUGGAACUGACGGCUGCACUUGUUGUUCCAGAAGGUGCUUGGAUUCCUGCCAGCUCACUGAAGUGGGUAACCAAGGAGUAGCCUGUAGAUAUACGUGCUCAAAAGUAAACUGCACUGAGUGGUCUGAGAUGACCCAGAAUGGAAACAGUCCUUGUGCCUCUCCUUUCCGCAGAACUUCUGCUGCUGACAACAUCUUGCCAUUGCUCUUGGCGAGCAAAUGUCUCUAGCUUCUGCUCAGGGAAUGUUGGGGCUUGCUGCUGCUACACAAACUCUGGUUUUCCUAUGGAAAUGCAUACAUCUUCUGAUUAAUGUUUCCGUCGAGUUUAGUCCUGGAUAAACACGGGGUAAUGUCAGAAUUCAUCAGCAAACUUGCACAAUCCC
Long non-coding RNA from Centrocercus urophasianus (Greater sage-grouse), 3212 nucleotides. RefSeq lists it as uncharacterized. The record is from RefSeq and is a predicted model, not a curated record. The transcript is spliced from 3 exons. NCBI's taxonomy places the organism in Eukaryota, Metazoa, Chordata, Aves, Galliformes, Phasianidae.